UUGAUUAAUGGCAACUAUAUAUGAUUUAUGGCAAUUAAUUUAUGGCUAUAUCCUCUUUCUCUUGAAAAUGAGACAGAGAGAGAACAGCACCUUUCUUACAUCAAAGCUAAUAACAGAAGUGAUGUGGGAAUGAGGACUCUUAGCAGCCUCCUUGCUAAGUUUGAGCAAACGGCAAACCUCAGGAAGAUAUCUGCUCUCUCCGCUUAUGGAAAAUGAGUAGUAAUGUAUCAAGAUUGAUGGCUUAUUUCAUCUGGAUGGGUUUUCCAGAGAGUUGAUCCAGCAAUGGACCAUAAAGACUAUGGUAUCCAGUAAAGUCUCUUGGCUGUCAUGUUUCCCUCCUCUCUGCUUCCAGGACACCUCUGUUUACAUCUUCCAGGUCACAGGAGGGCAGGGAGAACUCAGCCUUUCCCAACUCUGUCUGCAGUGGCUCCAAGUUUGAUUGGCAUGCCAUGUUUCCCGUUUUGAAGAAUUAUUUAAAAAAAGACAGAAUGUGCUGCCUACCCCACCGUUAUGAGGCCACUUCGUGCGAGCCAAAAUGGAAGGAAAAUCAGAUUGGUGCUUAGCAGGGGAGAGGCCGAGGGGAGUCGCUACUGACGGGCGGCAAUGCUGCAGAGAUGUGGCUCCCGAUGAGCUGAGGCCAGAAAGGGUGAGAAGGAAUGAUAUCUUUAGAAAAAUAAAAUAAAAUCAACGGUCAACUUAAAGGUCAACUUCUCUUGCCUUUUAAGAAGGCAGAUAAGGAAAGUCUCUGGACAGGUGUAGUUGCCUUUGGUAGGAGCAACCCAUGUCUCUUAUUUUUGAAAAGGCUUUUUUUCUUCUUUUUUCUU
Non-coding RNA from Python bivittatus (Burmese python), 824 nucleotides. Lineage: Eukaryota; Metazoa; Chordata; Lepidosauria; Squamata; Pythonidae. The record is from RefSeq and is a predicted model, not a curated record.